GAUGAACGCUGGCGGCGUGCUUAACACAUGCAAGUCGAACGAACCUUCGGGUUAGUGGCGGACGGGUGAGUAACGCGUGGGAAUCUGCCCUCAGGAGGGGGAUAACGGUUGGAAACGGCCGCUAAUACCCCAUAUGCCGAGAGGUGAAAUGAAUUUCGCCUGAGGAUGAGCCCGCGUCUGAUUAGCUAGUUGGUGAGGUAAGAGCUCACCAAGGCAUCGAUCAGUAGCUGGUCUGAGAGGAUGAUCAGCCACACUGGGACUGAGACACGGCCCAGACUCCUACGGGAGGCAGCAGUGGGGAAUUUUCCGCAAUGGGCGAAAGCCUGACGGAGCAACGCCGCGUGAGGGAUGAAGGCCUCUGGGCUGUAAACCUCUUUUAUCAAGGAAGAAGAUCUGACGGUACUUGAUGAAUAAGCCACGGCUAAUUCCGUGCCAGCAGCCGCGGUAAUACGGGAGUGGCAAGCGUUAUCCGGAAUUAUUGGGCGUAAAGCGUCCGCAGGCGGCCCAACAAGUCUGCUGUUAAAAAGUGGAGCUUAACUCCAUCAUGGCAGUGGAAACUGUUGGGCUCGAGUGUGGUAGGGGCAGAGGGAAUUCCCGGUGUAGCGGUGAAAUGCGUAGAUAUCGGGAAGAACACCAGUGGCGAAGGCGCUCUGCUGGGCCAUCACUGACGCUCAUGGACGAAAGCCAGGGGAGCGAAAGGGAUUAGAUACCCCUGUAGUCCUGGCCGUAAACGAUGAACACUAGGUGUCGGGGGGAAUCGACCCCUCCGGUGUCGUAGCCAACGCGUUAAGUGUUCCGCCUGGGGAGUACGCACGCAAGUGUGAAACUCAAAGGAAUUGACGGGGGCCGCACAAGCGGUGGAAUUAGGUGGUUUAAUUCGAUGCAACGCGAAGAACCUUACCAGGGUUUGACAUCCUGCGAAUCUCUUGGAAACUUGAGAGUGCCUUCGGGAGCGCAGUGACGGGUGGUGCAUGGCUGU
This 979-nucleotide ribosomal RNA is filed under the name uncultured bacterium. RNAcentral describes it as "bacterial SSU rRNA". It matches the Rfam family "Bacterial small subunit ribosomal RNA", at positions 28 to 1052 of the family's 1533-position model. The record is from RNAcentral.